CGAGUGUGGCCCUAAAAAGCAAAAAAAAUAAAAAAAUAAAAAUAAAAAAUAAAAGUGAAGAAAUUUCAAAAACUUGUAAAAUUUUCAUCUCUUCUCUCCUAUAUAUACACUUAACAAACUUUCUGUCUCGCUCUUUUUGUCUCUAUAUCUGUCUCCUUCUCAUGUAUCUAUAUUCAUUUUACAAUAAUUUUUGCAAUAUUUAUAACCCACCACUCUUUCAGUCGGGUGGGCCCUGGUAAUUAGGGAGAUUUGCCUUUGCAGAAGGCACAGUUGCUAUUGAACUUCACAUGACCAAGAGUUGAAUUUUUGCCUUGGUCUUGCCAUAGGUGCAAUCGCUUUGGACCCCUACAUUCUUGAAUUGCUUGAUUUAGAAUUUAAAUGCUACUGUUAAUUCAAAGGGAACUAAAAACAUCCCAAGUAAGACUUCAUGCUUGCCAUCAAUACCUUGAAAGGAAAUAGAUGCUUCCCUUUCCAAGUAUGGGAAUGACUCAUACUACAUCUCAGAGGGUUGUCAGAUUGUCAAUAAACACGAUAAGACUUUCUAUUUUCCCAGCUCAGAAGACAUAAAAAAUUGUGAUGGGGCAGCAGCCAUUCCUAUUUCUAUGAUGAGCAGGCCUAUAGUAGAUUUGUAUUAAUUUUGUAUGCCUUGCAUUAUUUAGCCAGUCACUGAUGCUUCUGUCAUGUAGUAAAUCCAGAAAAUUACUAUUUGCUGAAAUUUUUCACUGCUUCAGUUUAUGCAGAGAUGUAAGACAGUUUUCUGAGCCUGGGGUAUUUCUGAUUACAAGAGAGAGAAUAUGGCUGUAAUUGAUUUCAAGUCCUUGGUCACUUUUCUAACCUGGAAUUCUUUUUCCCAAUUUUUUCACUUAAUGCAUUGGCUCAACUUUAUAAGUCAGGAAAAUAAAGCAACAAUGAUCAUUCACUUCAUAUACAGAGAAGUGGGGGUCUGUUGAUCCAAAUGGUCUCUUCAAGCUUUAAAAGUAAGAUCUUGGAAGACAGUGCAAAUAAUCUUUAUGCCUGGAAUUGAGAAUGCUGUUAGUUGUUGCCUCAUGACCCUAGAUCUUAUUAUUAAUUUGCCUCAUGGAUUAGAAAAAGCUACACAGACAGAUUUUCCUUGCAUUGUUGCUUUAGAACUAAAUCGACCUGAAAAAUAAUUUUAUUGAUUCGGACAACUGUCCUUUAACUGCAUUAAGCUAACUCUAAUCUACAUACAGUUCAUUUUGUAGCAGACCAGAAUAAGCAAAACUCAUACCUUUGGUAUUUUUCUUCUUUGUAAUUCCCAGAGUACAUUAAUAAUACGUUUGCUUCAUUAUGACCACACCAUCUAGGUUGACCAUACAGUCUAAGUUUACCGGUAGGGUUGCCAAAGGAAAUGCAAGAUGCCCAGUUGAAUUUAAACUUCAGAGAAACGAUGAAUAAAUUUUAGUAUAAGUGUAUCCCUAAAGUUGCAUGGGAGGAACUUAGACUAAAAAAUUAGUCCUGUUUUAUUUGAAAUUCAAAUUUAACUCAUAUGUGCUAUAACUUUGAUAAAUAUGACAGCCCUAUUUAUUGGGAGAGUUGUAAUUUUCUGUAAUUGUGUUCUUUUCCAUAAAUCCAUUUCAAUAGGUAGAUAUGUUUAGGUGUUAUAUAAGUUUUGAUACAAAUACAUUAACAAAUUAGGGAGAAAUCUUACUUUAGACUACAUAUUCUAAUUUGUGACUCUGAAAAUAUGGUCAGUCUAAAGCUCCUUUUCAAACACACAGACUCAUUUUUGUCUCACAUAACCUUGGCACAUAGUAGGAGCUCAAUCAACAUUUCUUAAAUAGAGUGCAUAAAUUACAAAAUGAUAAGCUGGCACAGCAACAAAAGAGAGAGUGAGUGUGUGUGUGUGCCUGUGUCUUCUAGGAGCACAGUGCUAAAGCUUAGCUCCUACCUUCUUUUCACAGCGGACUCUUUCAUUAGAGGGUGGUUCAAAGUCAGUCAAAUGCUAUAUCUAAGAGUACGUCAAUCCAUAUAUGUGUUACUAGAUACUGCAUCCUUUUUUUAGAGACUCUAUUAAAAAAGGAUGAGUUAGUAAAAAUUCUUUGUACAGUCCAUGUUGGUUUCCUCAUACUCUGUUACCAAAUCUUCAUUUCUAAAAAGUCAGGGAACUGCAACAAUAACUCCUGUCCCCUACAUUUUUUUUUCCUUUUCUUUUGUCUUUAUUUAAAAGAAUCUUUAUACUCUUCCAUUGAGAAGCUGAAUCCAUGGCCCCUCUCUUUGAACCUGUGCAAACCCCCAUCAAUAGAGUCUGACUGAAGGGAAAAUUUGUGAUUUUUCCAUGAAAAUAUCAUGCAUUUCUACCUUACACUUUUGGGAAUCUUGCUCUAGAACCCAGAUUGGGAUGAAUUCUCCAGUAGUUUCCCCAAGAAAGUUUACACAGGAAGAAAAUUCUUUUGACCUUUUUGCACAUUUGAAAUUGUUGUUUUUUAGUCUCUUGCUUGGUGAACUGACUGGCUGGCACAUUUUAGAUUGAACUUCAUUUCAUUAGGAAUUUUUUAUACAUUGUUCCAAUAUAUUUUAUUUUCUAAUAUUGCUCUUGAGGAGGAAGAUGCUAAUCUGAUUCCCUAGUUUGUGUAAGUGACCAGGUUUUUCAUCUCUGGAAAUGAUCACAGCUUUUAAAAAAUUUCUAAUAUUCUGAGACUUUAUGGUGAUGUGACUUUUUUUCUCAUUUAUUAGGCUGGAUGUUCAGGAAGAGGGUUAUGUCUUUUGGUUCUAAGAAAUUUCCUUACAUGCUUGCUUUGAAAUUUUCCUCUUUCCCAUUACCAUCAUUUUCCAUUCUUAUUUGAGCUCCUAUUUGUUAGAUAUUGGAUAUUCUGGGUAAAUCCUAAUUAAUUUUUCUUUGCUAUUGUCCACUUUCUGUUUUAUUGAGAGAGUUCUUGAUUUAAUUUUCUAUUACAUCUUCUAUUGAAUUACUAAUUUCAGUGAUCACAUUUUUAAGUUUCAGCUAUAAUUUUUUCUACAAUUGUAUCUUGUGUAUGCUAUGAUAUUUUUUAUUUCCUUGAUGCAGCAUUUUCUUUUUUCUCUUUUGAAGAUCAUCAAUUACAUGUUUUUGAGGUUUUCUUCGGGUCACUACAGCAUUUGCUUCCCUCAAGAGGCUCAUUUUUCUGUUCGUUUUGAUGUUUGUGAUAAAUUUUCCUGGAAUAGCUGAUCUUCCUUGUCUAUCCAAUCAGAUCUAAAAUCAGGCACUUAAAGCCUAAUUGAUUAGUGCUGUGGACUUGUAGGGCAAUCAGGUAGCCCACAACUUUUGAAUUGGUUAGUUUUCUCUGGGGUAAUUGGCUUUAUUAGUAGGGGAUCCUUCGGUGUUCUGUGAAGGGCUGUGUGACUACUGCUUUUAUGAAACUGAAAUCUUCCAGAAAAUAUUUUCACUUUUUUUCUUUGUCUUCAGUAUUGAAUUUAAAUGACAGCCUUGUGGCUGGGCUAAAGAGGCUAGAGUUCUCUGGUUCAGUUACCCUAGAGCAGUGGUUUUCAGCCAUUAGCAGAUAGCAGAAUCACCUGGAAGGCUUGUUUAACCACAGAUAAGUGGGCCUAACCUCCAAAGCUUCAGUAGGACUGGGGUGAGGUUGGAGACAACACAGUCCCAAAAAGCUGCAAGAUGUGAGGCACCGGGGACUGCAGUUUGAGAACCACUGCUUUCGCGUGGAGGUGAGUGAGAAGUCUGUCACCGCAUGGCAUAACUUCUCGUGCUCUUAGACAGUCCCUCAGUUUUGCCAUCUCCAACCUGACUUCUGAUCUCAGUGAUACCUACAGCCUCUAAUUCCUGAGACCUUCUGGGCGUCUAGAGGGUGUUAUUUUGAGGGGAAUAAGCAGAAAAACCAUUUUACAUCAUUUUGAUGGAGUGUUAUUUUGAGUAGAGUAGCAAAGAAGCUUUCUUGUUCCCAUCAUAUGAAACAGAUGAGCAAAACCAAGAUUCUAGGGGCUGCCCACCACAUUACUUGUCUCUUAGUUCCCUUCCAUCUUCAAAGCCAGAGACAUCUCGUUGAGUCUUUCUUGGAACCCAUCACUUUGACACUGACUCUUCUGUCUUCCUCUUCUACCAGUUAAGGACCUUUGUGAUUACACUGGGCCUGUCUGGUUAAUCCAGAAUAACCUCCCCAGUCUAAGCUCACCAGGAAUAUACCACAUUAUGACCCAGUUCUUAAAGAGACAAGAUAAGUGAACUUUCGACCAAUUAGAGAAAAAUUGAUGGAUAAAUUGUGCUGACCAGGAAUACAAUUAAAGUUCAAGAAAGAAAUGGAUCUAUAAAGGAUGAUCUAAUUGCUGGGAUCCUUAAUGCAGCAUAGAGAGCAUCAAAGUAGACUUUCAAACUAAAUGAAUAGAAUUAGCAAAAUGAAAGAGAACAUGGUAUGUGAGGGGAAGCAGGCAGGGAAAGGAAGAGAUGAACUAUUUGGCAGAAUAGAGGCCGUGUCUGUUAAAGUCCUAUACUGUUUAACAUGGAAUACGGAGCUGUGUCAUAAGACUUGAAACCCUCUGCUUCUUUGGAUGAAAAGAAAGAUGGUAAAGUUCUUGAUUAGAUGGUGAUGAAGAUGAGUUUGGAAAGAGAUGAGUUUGCAGUUGCAGAAAUUGAGGGCAAGUAUGGAGAUGAAGCAUAAUCCCCUCCAUUGAAAUGUAAACAAAAUCGAUAUUGACCAAGGCAUGAGUCAUCAGAGCUAAGUAUUUCCCUCUCUCUCAAGCACGUCUGCAUAUAUUAAAACUUUUAGGGAAAGAAAAAGUCCCACUGACUAACUUAGUUGGACCCAUUGACAGACUAAGAGGUGUCCUGAGAGAUACUAACAUUUUACAAAAGUUAUUAUGAGGAGUGUGGGAAGGACAGAGGGAGACAUUUAUUAAACAAAGCAAACAAAGCAAAACUCUACAGUGGAGGUAAAUUUGUCCUCUGCAAUCGUAGGGGUGUCUGUAUUUGUGAGUUUUAAUGACAAAUUUCUGUGAAGAGUAUACUUGAAGAAUUCUGCUUUGGAGAAAUGUCUAUUCAGGUCCUUUGCCAGAAAAAAGAAUGUAUACAUGUAUGUGUAACUGGGUCACCAUGCUGUGCAGUAGAAAAAAAUAUAUAUGAAGAAAUAAAAAUUAAAAUAAAAAAAUCUGCUUUUAUUAAUUGGUGACCUUUGUAAAAACAAUAAACUUUGAAAAACCUUAAAUCCUUUUUAAUAUUGGACCCAUACUCAUUACCUAACAGAGGUUUUGUGAGGAUUAGUAUAAAUAACCCACCUUCCUCAGUGGGCAUAGUUUCUAAACAAUUUCCAGGCAGCAAGAACAGAACUCAUUGGAAGGAUAUGGGGCAACUCACAUGAUUAAAAGGAUAGUGAAUGAGGAUGGGUCCAGAGAUCUAGGGAGAAAGAACCAAAAGGGUUGGGUCUUCAAGUUGCUGCCAUUAUAUUAUCUCAUUUCUACAAGAUUUAUGUCCUUAUAUUACUCUAUUCAGGAUCCAGAUUCCCAGGGGAAACAAAGUAUCCGAUGAGCCCAGUGUCACAGUAAAAAUUGCACAGCACAAAACUAAACAGACAGGGGAAACUUUAUUCAAGGCUGUUGCAGGAGGGGAGAGAGGAGAAAACUUGGUCAGACCUCAACUCUGCUGAAACACAAGAGGAGUAGGGUUUUUGAGGGGUGGGAUGAAGAGUAGAUGUAGCUUAUCUGUGCUUGCUAAUUGGCUUUACCCAAAAGGAACGGAAAGUUUCUCCUACCUUCCUGACAGGAGGUAAUUUACAGCUUGGAGCAAUGCUACCACCAAAGUUAGUAUCCUACCUUCCCACAGAGACUGAAGAUGAGGGUUCUAUCUUUCUCGAUGAUUAUAUUUCGAAAGGAUGAUUCCCAGGUCCUAGAGAAAGAUAGUCUUGGGUUGUAAAACUGGCAAGAGGCUUUAAAAAAUGAUUUCCAUCUCAAAGCUUUACAAGCUUUAUAAGGAAAAGGCUCUAAGGAAAGGAAACGUUAAGGCCAUGUUGCUCACCAGGGCACGGCAUGGGAAGCAUCAGAUGUGGCAAGGCUUAUUUGGAUUUAUAUUCCCACCAAGGCAACACUGAGUGGGGAAAAGGGUCCUUCUCAAAAGAAAAGUGAGAACCACCAAAACAAACAAACAAAAAAGCAGUUGUUAUGGAUAACUCAAUGUGCCUGGCACUGUGUAUACAAGUUAGGAAAGAAGUAUAACACUUGAAUGAUUUGAAUUUAUAUAAAAGAAAUAAACAGAUCUACUCAAAAUACUUAGCAAACAAUUCAAAGGCAAUGUAGAAGCAAGAAUAAAGUCCCUAAAAAAAAUCAUGCCACCCCACAAGCAAUACUCAGUACAGGGUUGCCGUCAGAAGAAAUAAAAUCCUAUCAUUGUAAACAAUUAACAUUUUACUGGGGCCCCUUAAAUUUGGCAGAUGGAGGAUUAUGAUACAUGAUGUGCAGCCACAGAUCUCAAAAAUUCUUUAUAUUUAUCAAUUUCCCUCAGGGUGCUAUGCUUUCCCAAAGUGUCCCCAAACUGUUUUUGUUAAUCAGUUUCCCCACCCCCACCUCCUGCCUGGCCUUGUUUUCACAUUAGUUUCUCUUGGAAGUACUGGUGCUGCUUCUCAUGCAGAUAUUUCAGGCAUUCCUGCUUUCCCAGUUAUGUUUUUCUAUGCUUUAUUCUAAUGAACAACCAAUGCUGCUGCUUCCUUAGAUGUCAGAGCAGGGACAUGAGGCCCUUUGAGUCCCAGUGUAAACCUGUCAUUGGAGCUCAAAGAUUUCAGCCUCUGGUGCAGAGAUGAGAACAUACAAAGCUGUAACAACCAAUGGAAAAGUUAGCCAUUGGGUACCCACUGUGAUGGGUGCUCAGCCCUUUCAGGUUUCCAUCCUAUAAAUCGGAAGGCCUGCCAUAUAGACAGUAUCUGUGUGGGCUGAAGAAUGUCAAGAUGAGGAAGUAUUGCUCAUCAUAUUUCCUCAGCACCUACUACACACAGAAUUCAUAUUAUUUUAUUUCUAUUCAUUUUAUUUUAAAAAUUGUUGAGAAACAGAAUUGUGAGGUUAAAGGAGUCAGCGAUUCUUCAGCAGGUACCAAGAGAAGCACUGUCUUUUGAACACGUUGGGCAGCCGUAAAGCAAGGCUGCGGUGUUGCAGACGGCUUUGCACGUGAGUGUGGGAAAAUGAAUAGCAAUUACUCGAGGACCUUUAGUAGUUCCCUUGCCUGAAUGGAAUAUUUAAGAGUCUUGCAGGAGAGGGGAAGAGAGAAUGAAAAGGAAGGGAGAGGAAGGAGAAGGAAGGGAGUUUGACCAUGACCACCACCAUUCCCAUCUUUCUUCAUGUCCUAGAGACCAGACCGGGUCAUCGGGUAAACACCAGAUGUGUGAUAGCAUGUGCUGGUGUGGCCCCUUUACCUUUAUAUAUGUAUCUAUGAAAACACUGCUAUAACAAGAAUAUUAUCUUGUUUCAGAAGAGUAUGGAAUGAUUUAGCUAACUGAGUUUAUAUGGCAAUCUAAUUAUAGUGUUUCUUUUCAGUAAUUCUCUAUUAAUGUGUAUUUCAAGAGAACAGAUACUAAAACCCUUUUAACAGUUUCAAAGAAAAUUCCUAUGAUGAAAAACAGAAAAAUGCUUAAAGUGAACAUAAAAUGUAAAAGCUUUGUACAAGGAAACAAACUUUUGUCUUCAAAAACAACAAAAAAUUUGUUUUCUCAUAGUUGUGGUAUUUGAGAAGUCCAAACUCAGGGUGCCGACCAGUUCCGUUCCUGCUGAGAAAACUCUUCCUGGCUUACAGAUAACUGCCUUCUCGCUGUGUCCUCACAUUAUGGAUACAGAGAGAGCUCUGUCUUCUCUUCUUUCUUGUGUGUGAUUUGAUAU
This is a non-coding RNA of Sus scrofa (pig), 7800 nucleotides long. Lineage: Eukaryota; Metazoa; Chordata; Mammalia; Artiodactyla; Suidae. The record is from RefSeq and is a predicted model, not a curated record.